RNAcentral lists this ribosomal RNA (524 nucleotides) under uncultured bacterium. Its description in RNAcentral is "partial 16S ribosomal RNA". It matches the Rfam family "Bacterial small subunit ribosomal RNA", at positions 28 to 523 of the family's 1533-position model. The record is from RNAcentral.
GACGAACGCUGGCGGCGUGCCUAAUACAUGCAAGUCGAACGAAGCUGUUUUAACUGGUGCUUGCACCGACUUAAACAACUGAGUGGCGGACGGGUGAGUAACACGUGGGUAACCUGCCCCAAAGCGGGGGAUAACAUUUGGAAACAGAUGCUAAUACUGCAUAAUCACAGAAACCACAUGGUUUCUGUGUCAAAGAUGGGUCCGGCUAUCCCUUUGUGAUGGCCCCGCGGCGUAGUAGCUAGUUGGUAAGGGAAUGGCUUACCAAGGAAAUGAUAAGUAGCCGAACUGAGAGGUUGAUCGGCCACAUUGGGACUGAGACACGGCCCAAACUCCUACGGGAGGCAGCAGUAGGGAAUCUUCCACAAUGGACGAAAGUCUGAUGGAGCAACGCCGCGUGAGUGAAGAAGGUUUUCGGAUCGUAAAACUCUGUUGUCAGAGAAGAACGUGUGCGAGAGUAACUGUUCGUGCAGUGACGGUAUCUGGCCAGAAAGCCACGGCUAACUACGUGCCAGCCGCCGCGGUAA